GGGGAAACCAAUCACAAAUAUUACAUAAACCCUAUCCCCAUGCAUACAUAAACUCUUACUCAACCAUAACCACAAAUGGUCAUAACCAUAAUCAUGUAUGCAUGCAUCAAAACAAGGUUUAUUAAUCAAGAUAAUUAAGAACAUAUAACAUACAACAAAAGGCAAACAAAGGUAAGUUUUCUCAUGUCUUGGUCAAUAUUAGGGCUUUAUCUAUAACCCCAAAACACCAUCAAUCUUCCCUUUGCUCUAAAGGUUUUUGUUGCUCUUUCUCUUCUCUCCUAAACGUCUCUUUCUCCUUAGCUUCUCUCUUAAAUUUAGAGUUUUUAGGGUUUCUCAAACACACAAUCCACCCAUCUCUCUAAAUCUUAAUAUUUAGAAAUGAACCCAACUCUAUCUCUAAUAUCUCGUCACUAAUAAAACCAAUUCUAUCUAAAUCUCUAUUCUCCUUCUAUCUCACAUUCAUUAUCCCUUUUUUCUUUAUCUUAUUUAAUUCACACCCCUUUUAUUUCCUACACCCCAUUUUUUAAUUUCUACACCAAUUAAAUAAAGUAAAAGACCAUUUUAUCCCUAAACAAAAAUACAAAUAACUAAAGGUUUCCCCCUAAUUCUCUUCCUACUUAGAAUUGAACCCACAACCAUUUAAUCAUAGACCACCCUUUUAUCAAAAAGUCAACCCAUCACAUUGGUACCAUCAAACACACACA
RNAcentral lists this long non-coding RNA (704 nucleotides) under Vigna radiata. Its description in RNAcentral is "long non-coding RNA (VRAD_LNC014818)". The record is from RNAcentral. Lineage: Eukaryota; Viridiplantae; Streptophyta; Magnoliopsida; Fabales; Fabaceae.